UAUCAGACCUGUGCUCCGGGAAACCUCUUCUUCAGGAUCAACCCCCAGUCUCAGGGCUCCCUCACCGAACCGUGCGGUCUGAGAGCCAGCCCGCGUCGCAGUUGUCAAAGCCAUCUUCGAAGGCAGCCUGCAGGUGCCUUGGGGCGGCGAUGGUGGCAGAGCUUAGGCGGCAGGCCUCCUGGGCCUCAGUGAAGGUCAGCGCAUAGCGGUCCCGGGCAGCCCGGUAGUGGAACACGACUCCUGUGGGAGAGACCAGGCUGCCCACGCAGUGUAACAGUGCAAGAAGGGACCACCGGGCCAGACCACUCAUGGCUCUGCCUCUUGUGGGAGAAUUCCAAAGGCUUCUCAUAUGGGCCCAGCUAGAGGAGCAGCAGGAGAAGAUUCUGAAAUGAAAAAACAUCAUCCCAUCCCGCUGACCCCCACUCCAAGAGCCCCACUCACCCUGAUCCCCAGUCACUAGGAGCAACAGUCUCAGCACCAGAAGGCUGGAGGCCCAGAC
This is a long non-coding RNA of Alexandromys fortis (reed vole), 499 nucleotides long. RefSeq lists it as uncharacterized. The transcript is spliced from 3 exons. The record is from RefSeq and is a predicted model, not a curated record. NCBI's taxonomy places the organism in Eukaryota, Metazoa, Chordata, Mammalia, Rodentia, Cricetidae.